UACGUAGGGUGCAAGCGUUGUCCGGAAUUAUUGGGCGUAAAGAGCUCGUAGGCGGUUCGUCGCGUCGGCUGUGAAAUCCCGAGGCUCAACCUCGGGUCUGCAGUCGAUACGGGCGGACUGGAGUUCGGCAGGGGAGACUGGAAUUCCUGGUGUAGCGGUGAAAUGCGCAGAUAUCAGGAGGAACACCGAUGGCGAAGGCAGAUCUUUGGGCCGUAACUGACGCUGAGAAGCGAAAGCAUGGGGAGCGAACAGG
RNAcentral lists this ribosomal RNA (253 nucleotides) under uncultured bacterium. RNAcentral describes it as "partial 16S ribosomal RNA". It matches the Rfam family "Bacterial small subunit ribosomal RNA", at positions 524 to 776 of the family's 1533-position model. The record is from RNAcentral.